RNAcentral lists this ribosomal RNA (415 nucleotides) under uncultured bacterium. RNAcentral's name for it is "bacterial SSU rRNA". It matches the Rfam family "Bacterial small subunit ribosomal RNA", at positions 355 to 786 of the family's 1533-position model. The record is from RNAcentral.
UGGGGAAUAUUGCACAAUGGGCGCAAGCCUGAUGCAGCAACGCCGCGUGAGCGAAGAAGGCCUUCGGGUCGUAAAGCUCUGUCCUAGGGGAAGAAGAAGUGACGGUACCCAAGGAGGAAGCCCCGGCUAACUACGUGCCAGCAGCCGCGGUAAUACGUAGGGGGCGAGCGUUAUCCGGAAUUAUUGGGCGUAAAGAGUACGUAGGUGGUUUUGUAAGCGCGGGGUGAAAGGCAGUGGCUUAACCAUUGUUAGCCUUGCGAACUGCAAGACUUGAGUGCAGGAGAGGGAAGCGGAAUUCCUAGUGUAGCGGUGAAAUGCGUAGAUAUUAGGAGGAACACCAGUGGCGAAGGCGGCUUUCUGGACUGUAACUGACACUGAGGUACGAAAGCGUGGGGAGCAAACAGGAUUAGAUACC